Molecule: ribosomal RNA, 461 nt
Filed under: uncultured bacterium
Lineage: Bacteria
Description: bacterial SSU rRNA
Rfam family: Bacterial small subunit ribosomal RNA
Source: RNAcentral
GACGAACGCUGGCGGCGUGCCUAACACAUGCAAGUCGAACGGAGCUUUGAGAGCUUGCUCUUAAAGCUUAGUGGCGAACGGGUGAGUAACGCGUGAGCAACCUGCCUUUCAGAGGGGGACAACAGUUGGAAACGACUGCUAAUACUGCAUAAUGUCAUCUGGGGACAUCCCCUAAUGACCAAAGGAGCAAUCCGCUGAAAGAUGGGCUCGCGUCUGAUUAGCUAGAUGGCGGGGUAACGGCCCACCAUGGCGACGAUCAGUAGCCGGACUGAGAGGUUGAUCGGCCACAUUGGGACUGAGAUACGGCCCAGACUCCUACGGGAGGCAGCAGUGGGGAAUAUUGGGGCAAUGGGCGAAAGCCUGACCCAGCAACGCCGCCGUGAGGGAAGAAGGUCUUCGGAUUGUAAACCUCUUUUUACCAGGGUACGAAGAACGUGACGGUACCUGGAGAAAAGCAACGG